CCUACGGGUGGCAGCAGUGAGGAAUAUUGGUCAAUGGACGAGAGUCUGAACCAGCCAAGUAGCGUGAAGGAUGACUGCCCUAUGGGUUGUAAACUUCUUUUAUAUGGGAAUAAAAUGUUCCACGUGUGGGAGUUUGUAUGUACCAUAUGAAUAAGGAUCGGCUAACUCCGUGCCAGCAGCCGCGGUAAUACGGAGGACCCGAGCGUUAUCCGGAUUUAUUGGGUUUAAAGGGAGCGUAGGCGGAGUGUUAAGUCAGUUGUGAAAGUUUGCGGCUCAACCGUAAAAGUGCAGUUGAAACUGGAAGUCUUGAGUACAGAAGAGGUGGGCGGAAUUCGUGGUGUAGCGGUGAAAUGCAUAGAUAUCACGAGGAACCCCGAUUGCGAAGGCAGUUCGCUGGGGUGCAACUGACACUGAGGCUCGAAGGUGUGGGUAUCAAACAGGAUUAGAUACCCGGGUAGUC
Molecule: ribosomal RNA, 460 nt
Filed under: uncultured bacterium
Lineage: Bacteria
Description: partial 16S ribosomal RNA
Rfam family: Bacterial small subunit ribosomal RNA
Source: RNAcentral